ACGGAUCCUUCGGGAUUAGUGGCAGACGGGUGAGUAACGCGUGGGAAGCUACCUUGUGGUAGGGGACAACAGUUGGAAACGACUGCUAAUACCCUAUGAGCCCUAUGGGGGAAAGAUUUAUCGCCAUGAGAUGUGCCCGCGUUAGAUUAGCUAGUUGGUAAGGUAAUGGCUUACCAAGGCGACGAUCUAUAGCUGGUCUGAGAGGAUGAUCAGCCACACUGGGACUGAGACACGGCCCAGACUCCUACGGGAGGCAGCAGUGGGGAAUAUUGGACAAUGGGGGCAACCCUGAUCCAGCCAUGCCGCGUGUGUGAUGACGGCCUUAGGGUUGUAAAGCACUUUCAGCAGUGAAGAUAAUGACAUUAACUGCAGAAGAAGCCCCGGCUAACUUCGUGCCAGCAGCCGCGGUAAUACGAAGGGGGCUAGCGUUGUUCGGAAUCACUGGGCGUAAAGAGUACGUAGGCGGACUGAUAAGUUAGGGGUGAAAUCCCAAGGCUCAACCUUGGAACUGCCUUUGAUACUGUCAGUCUUGAGAUCGAGAGAGGUGAGUGGAACUCCGAGUGUAGAGGUGAAAUUCGUAGAUAUUCGGAAGAACACCAGUGGCGAAGGCGGCUCACUGGCUCGAUACUGACGCUGA
Molecule: ribosomal RNA, 637 nt
Filed under: Pseudovibrio sp. AU368_Ted1_NSWSE
Lineage: Bacteria; Pseudomonadati; Pseudomonadota; Alphaproteobacteria; Hyphomicrobiales; Stappiaceae
Description: bacterial SSU rRNA
Rfam family: Bacterial small subunit ribosomal RNA
Source: RNAcentral